CAAGCGAACAAUCGAGAUCCUAUCAGUGAGCUCGAUGUCAGCACCUAUCCGCCCUUCUCUCGAUGGAUUCUCGACGAACCAUUUCUAGAUCGGUUCAAGAUGCCGUAGGUGGAACCAUACGAUAGCUCUACCGAUUUGCUCGACCAUCUUGAGAGCUACAAAGCUCUAAUGCUUCUUCAGGGGACAUCCGAUGUCCUCCUCUGCAUCGCCUUUUUGGUCACCCUC
Molecule: long non-coding RNA, 225 nt
Filed under: Elaeis guineensis (African oil palm)
Lineage: Eukaryota; Viridiplantae; Streptophyta; Magnoliopsida; Arecales; Arecaceae
Description: long non-coding RNA (EGUI_LNC017808)
Source: RNAcentral